Elaeis guineensis (African oil palm) is the source of this 2790-nucleotide non-coding RNA. NCBI's taxonomy places the organism in Eukaryota, Viridiplantae, Streptophyta, Magnoliopsida, Arecales, Arecaceae. The record is from RefSeq and is a predicted model, not a curated record.
AUUUUGGGCUGCAGAGAAUUUUAAUGGGUGCAACUUUUCGCCACUUCAAAGCGCUUUGAUUCCUUAUCUUCUUCCCGGUCCCGAUCCGGCCGUUUCCUCAUAUCUCACGCCUCAUUGGCUCGAAGAGAAAGAUAUUCGCCCACCAAAACAAACGGAGGAUAGAAGCAAAUCCCGGUGGGCUCGCGUGAUCUUAAUUAGUAGAAGGUUCCUCUCUUUGGGAAUAUUGGUCUUGUUUGGCUUUUUGGUGCUCACACGAAGAAGAUGAGCGAGGAAAAAGAGGUGGAAGAAGCGAAUGGAAUGAAGCGCUCUAGGCCUCCUUAAGCUGCAGGUAACGCCUACCUGUGAAAUCUUUACUGUUGUCUCUGCCACGUGUCACCGUGCGAUAAGGAUUUUUAUGUCUCUGACUAAGUUUGUUAAGUUGGAGAUCAGACUAAAGCAGAGUUUCUCAUGCCCACCUUGCUUUCUUUAGAGAGCCUACAAGAUGAAACUCCCUUAUCUUUUCUGUCACUCUCCCACAACAGUCUUGUAUCUCCUCAUAGGCUCAAUCGGCUUAUAAGCCCUUAAGAAGCCUUCCAAGAAGGAGGAGGAGCUUGGAUUUUAAGUUCCAUCAUAUGCGAAGGCUAAUUUGAAGGGAAUUUUGGAAGGUAAUCAAGAAGGCGGUGAAACAGCCUAUUUGAAGUGGAAAUGGCGGCGAGGAAAGCCACAGUCUGGACAUCAUUACUGUUAUCACUGAUGCUCUCUUUCUCACCUUUUGGAGUUAAUUCGAAUAACCAUAAGUCCAAGAUGCGCUAUCAUGAUUUUAUUGUUGACUUGUCACCAUACACUCGGCUCUGUAGAACAAAAAGCAUCCUGACUGUAAAUGGGCAAUUCCCUGGGCCAACUCUACGUGCCCGCAGAGGAGACACCAUGGUGGUCAAUGUCCAUAACAAGGCUAGGCACAAUAUAACUAUCCACUGGCAUGGAGUAAUACUGCAGGGCAACCCAUGGGCAGAUGGUGCCUCAUACAUUACUCAGUGCCCCAUCCAGAGAGGCCAUAACCAAACGUACCGGUUUAUGCUAAGCAAAGAACAAGGAACCUUUUGGUGGCACGCACACGACCAUGCUGCACGGGCCACAGUUCAUGGCGCUAUCAUCGUGUCUCCACGUCUAUUUUCAAAAUCCCAGUAUCCAUUCCCGAUACCUCACGGUUACAAGCCAAUAGUACUCGGAGAGUGGUGGAAUAGAGAUGUGAUGGAGGUGUACAAAGAGGCAGUUGAAAUGGGUGGAGAUCCUGUGCACUCUGAUGCUUAUACUAUAAAUGGACAACCUGGUUAUCUCUAUCCAUGCUCCAAGGCAGAAACCGUCAAGAUGUCGGUGGAACAAGGUAGAACUUAUCUUCUUCAGAUCGUCAAUGCGGCCAUGGAUGAGCAGCUCUUCUUCUCCAUUGCUAAGCAUCGAAUGACAUUGGUUGGGAUUGAUGGAAGCUACACUAAGGCCCUGGCAACCGACUAUAUAAUGAUCUCUCCUGGCCAGACCAUGGAUGUCUUAAUAGAAGCCAACCAAUCUCCUGGCUACUAUGUCAUGGCUGCCAGUGCUUUUGACAACGGAAUGGGGUCUAUGGGACACAUGAUGGCUAUGGACUCCAUGAGUUCUAUGGGACCUAUGGCUGACCAAACUGUGACCACAGCUGUCCUUCAUUAUACUGGCUCGUGUUGCUCUCCUCCAUCAUCCCCUAUGUUACCAUCCCUCCCUGCUUAUAAUGAUUCGCAUGCAGCCAAUAAUUUCACAAGUCAUCUGGCUAAUCAUAGAAAAAAUCUGGAUUCCUAUCUCAGGGAUGUUAAGGAGCAUCUCUUCUUCACUCUCUCGGAAAACUUGAUUAAUUGUGGUGCUAACAAGUGUAAAGGAGAGAUGGGCAUGAUGAACAAGGCCAGUAUCAACAACAUAAGCUUUGUGAAGCCCGAGGUAGAUGUGCUCCAAGCUUACUAUUAUGGGCUUCAUGGUGUUUAUGAUGAAGAUUUUCCAGGAGAGCCGCCACUAAAGUUCAACUACACUGGCAUGAACAUGAUGAACAGGAGGCUAUGGGAGCCAGAGAUGGGCACCAAGGUGAAGGUGUUGGAGUAUAAUACGCUUGUGGAGAUUGUUUUCCAAGGGACUAGUGUAGUAUCUGGUGAGAGUCAUCCAAUGCACCUUCAUGGACAUAGAUUUUAUGUCGUUGGAUGGGGGUUUGGGAAUUUUGACCCCAAGAAGGACCCUCUUCAUUACAACCUUAACAAUCCACCUCACAUGUCCACUGUCGCAGUUCCAAAGAAUGGAUGGACUGCCAUCAGAUUCAGGGCUAACAAUCCUGGUGUUUGGCUUCUGCAUUGUCACUUUGAGCAUCACCAGAGUGUAGGCAUGAGCAUGGUGUUUAUAGUAAAGAAUGGUACAGGGAAGUCCCAUGGGGCUCUUUCUCCACCUCAACACAUGCCUGCUUGCUGAAAUGUAGCAUCCUUUUCUGAAGAAUUUGGUUGAAGACUGCUUCUUUAGUUUAGAGGAUCAUUAGCUAAGUGAUUAGCCACAAUUAGUUGUUCUCAGUUGUCUUUUCUUGAUCUUCCAUGCUGCUGUUUAUAUAUAUCUAUAUCCAUAUCUAUAUAUCUAUAUAUAUCUAUCUACAUAUAUAUACACACACGCACUGUCCAAACAAUAGCCAUUUUCCUGUUUUAUCCUCAGAUACUCCUUCACAAGUUCUUGCAUCUCCCAAUACAUUUUAUGUAAAUAUUGUUUUACUUGGUUCUCAAUAAAAAUUUGGGUGGCAUAUGCCUUUCUUUCAAU